Molecule: ribosomal RNA, 252 nt
Filed under: uncultured bacterium
Lineage: Bacteria
Description: partial 16S ribosomal RNA
Rfam family: Bacterial small subunit ribosomal RNA
Source: RNAcentral
UACGUAGGGGGCUAGCGUUGUCCGGAUUUAUUGGGCGUAAAGAGCGUGUAGGCGGCCAGGUAGGUCUGCUGUGAAAACUCGAGGCUCAACCUCGAGACGUCGGCGGAAACCAUCUGGCUAGAGUCCGGAAGAGGAGAGUGGAAUUCCUGGUGUAGCGGUGAAAUGCGCAGAUAUCAGGAAGAACACCCGUGGCGAAGGCGGCUCUCUGGGACGGUACUGACGCUGAGACGCGAAGCGUGGGGAGCGAACAGG